GGAUCCCUGCAGCCUUCUACGAAACUGCAACCUUUAUCCAUGCUUGUCACCUCGUGCACUUCCUCCACUCAUGCCCAUCUCCAAAGCCUCCUUCCUCACCCUCCAUUGAUUCCAGAUCAGAUCAAAUGUUCUCUUGGGCAUGGAGACUCCCUUGAGCAUGGAUUCUUGGGCAGCCACACAAAGGAGGUACCCCCUUGGAUGGGGCGCCCACAUGAUGGGGUGCCUCCCUUUUCCAAACCCUAGGGCGGCUAGGGCUUGUGGGGGGCACCCCCCCUAGGGCUCCUUGCUGCUUGAAAGACCAGAG
RNAcentral lists this long non-coding RNA (304 nucleotides) under Elaeis guineensis (African oil palm). Its description in RNAcentral is "long non-coding RNA (EGUI_LNC038859)". Lineage: Eukaryota; Viridiplantae; Streptophyta; Magnoliopsida; Arecales; Arecaceae. The record is from RNAcentral.